Molecule: ribosomal RNA, 275 nt
Filed under: uncultured bacterium
Lineage: Bacteria
Description: partial 16S ribosomal RNA
Rfam family: Bacterial small subunit ribosomal RNA
Source: RNAcentral
GCGUGAGUGAAGAAGGCCUUCGGGUUGUAAAGCUCUUUCAGGUGCGAAGAUGAUGACGGUAACACCAGAAGAAGCUCCGGCUAACUCCGUGCCAGCAGCCGCGGUAAUACGGAGGGAGCGAGCGUUGUUCGGAAUCACUGGGCGUAAAGCGUACGUAGGCGGUCCUGCAAGUCAGGAGUGAAAGCCCAGGGCUUAACCUUGGAAUUGCUCUUGAAACUGCAAGACUAGAGUCCCGGAGAGGUUGGCGGAAUUCCGAGUGUAGAGGUGAAAUUCGC